GCGGAAUGCGUGGUGUAGCGGUGAAAUGCAUAGAUAUCACGCAGAACCCCGAUUGCGAAGGCAGCCUGCCAAGCCAUGACUGACGCUGAUGCACGAAAGCGUGGGGAUCAAACAGGAUUAGAUACCCUGGUAGUCCACGCAGUAAACGAUGAUCACUAGCUGUUUGCGAUACACAGUAAGCGGCACAGCGAAAGCGUUAAGUGAUCCACCUGGGGAGUACGCCGGCAACGGUGAAACUCAAAGGAAUUGACGGGGGCCCGCACAAGCGGAGGAACAUGUGGUUUAAUUCGAUGAUACGCGAGGAACCUUACCCGGGUUUGAACGCAUUCGGACCGAGGUGGAAACACCUUUUCUAGCAAUAGCCGUUUGCGAGGUGCUGCAUGGUUGUCGUCAGCUCGUGCCGUGAGGUGUCGGCUUAAGUGCCAUAACGAGCGCAACCCUUGCCACUAGUUACUAACAGGUGAUGCUGAGGACUCUGGUGGGACUGCCAGCGUAAGCUGCGAGGAAGGCGGGGAUGACGUCAAAUCAGCACGGCCCUUACAUCCGGGGCGACACACGUGUUACAAUGGCGUGGACAAAGGGAGGCCACCUGGCGACAGGGAGCGAAUCCCCAAACCACGUCUCAGUUCGGAUCGGAGUCUGCAACCCGACUCCGUGAAGCUGGAUUCGCUAGUAAUCGCGCAUCAGCCAUGGCGCGGUGAAUACGUUCCCGGGCCUUGUACACACCGCCCGUCAAGCCAUGGGAGCCGGGGGUACCUGAAGUCCGUAACCGCGAGGAUCGGCCUAGGGUAAAACUGGUGACUGGGGCUAA
Molecule: ribosomal RNA, 811 nt
Filed under: uncultured organism
Description: SSU rRNA
Rfam family: Bacterial small subunit ribosomal RNA
Source: RNAcentral